UAUAGAAAACCGUACACCCUUCCAUAACAUAAAUAAUGAGAACGUACAUUUGUUUAUUUUUUAUACUUCUCGUACUAAUUUUGAAACAAUGUAUUCAUUUUACCGCGUUUCGGGAAACAUCGAGAAAAUGUUGUCUACAAGGAACGUUUUAAAGGGUUAUGGCCCCUUAUGUUGCCAUGUGAAUUACGAAUUUUUAAAACUGCAAGUGUAUCAAAACAUGCACAAAUAAUGAAUAAUGAAGAUAGGCCAUUUUGUACAUAUACCUAGGGGAAAAUUCGUGCAAAGCAUUAUUAUUUAUUGUUUCAU
This 306-nucleotide long non-coding RNA is filed under the name Mytilus galloprovincialis (Mediterranean mussel). Lineage: Eukaryota; Metazoa; Mollusca; Bivalvia; Mytilida; Mytilidae. The record is from RNAcentral.